RNAcentral lists this unclassified non-coding RNA (402 nucleotides) under soil metagenome. Its description in RNAcentral is "partial contains 5.8S ribosomal RNA, internal transcribed spacer 2, and large subunit ribosomal RNA". The stretch from base 1 to 121 matches the Rfam family "5.8S ribosomal RNA", at positions 35 to 154 of the family's 154-position model. The record is from RNAcentral.
GAUGAAGAACGUAGCGAAAUGCGAUAAGUAAUGUGAAUUGCAGAAUUCAGUGAAUCAUCGAAUCUUUGAACGCACCUUGCGCCCUUUGGCUAUUCUGAAGGGCAUGCCUGUUUGAGUAUCAUGAACACCUCAACUCUCAUGGUUCGCCAUGAUGAGCUUGGACUUUGGGGGUCUUGCUGGCCUACGGUCGGCUCCUCUCAAAUGAAUCAGCUUGCCAGUGUUUGGUAGAGUCGCAGGUGUGAUAACUAUCUACGCUUGUGGUUUUCUGCCUGAUAACCUUCAGUGAUGGAGGUUCGCUGGAGCUUAUAAAUGUCUCUCCCCAGUGAGGACAGCUUUUUGAACGUUUGAUCUCAAAUCAGGUAGGACUACCCGCUGAACUUAAGCAUAUCAAUAAGCGGAGGA